GGGGAAUUUUGGACAAUGGGCGCAAGCCUGAUCCAGCCAUUCCGCGUGCAGGAUGAAGGCCCUCGGGUUGUAAACUGCUUUUGUACGGAACGAAACGGCGCUUUCUAAUACAGAGCGCUAAUGACGGUACCGUAAGAAUAAGCACCGGCUAACUACGUGCCAGCAGCCGCGGUAAUACGUAGGGUGCAAGCGUUAAUCGGAAUUACUGGGCGUAAAGCGUGCGCAGGCGGUAAUGCAAGACAGAUGUGAAAUCCCCGGGCUCAACCUGGGAACUGCAUUUGUGACUGCAUUGCUGGAGUGCGGCAGAGGGGGAUGGAAUUCCGCGUGUAGCAGUGAAAUGCGUAGAUAUGCGGAGGAACACCGAUGGCGAAGGCAAUCCCCUGGGCCUGCACUGACGCUCAUGCACGAAAGCGUGGGGAGCAAAC
RNAcentral lists this ribosomal RNA (425 nucleotides) under uncultured bacterium. Its description in RNAcentral is "bacterial SSU rRNA". It matches the Rfam family "Bacterial small subunit ribosomal RNA", at positions 356 to 773 of the family's 1533-position model. The record is from RNAcentral.